AGAGCGUAGGGAGAAUGCCUAGGUACCAAGAGCCGACGAAGGACGUGAUAAGCUGCGAAAAGCUACGGGGAGGAGCAAAUAUCCAUCAAUCCGUAGAUAUCCGAAUGAGGGAACUCAUAUGGCGAAAAGAAGCCAUAUAUCUAUGUGUGAGUAAAGUAGCACAUAAGAGGGGAACGUGGGGAACUGAAACAUCUAAGUACCCAUAGGAAGAGAAAAUAAAUAAUGAUUUCUGGAGUAGUGGCGAGCGAAACAGAAAGAGCCCAAACCAUAAGUAGAAAUACAUAUGGGGUACGGACUACCAAAAGCUACUAAUAAGUCUAAUAGAAUCAUCUGGGAAGGUGAACCAAAGACGGUGAAAGUCCAGUAUAUGAAAGAUAAGUUAGGGUAGGUAGAAUCCAGAGUAGUGCGAGACACAGGGAAUCUCGUAUGAAAGAGCGGGGACCAUCCCGUAAGGCUAAAUACUACUUGGUAACCGAUAGUGAACGAGUACCGUGAGGGAAAGGUGAAAAGGACCCCGGGAGGGGAGUGAAAAAGAACCUGAAACCCUAUGUUUACAAGCAGAUAGAGCGAUUUAAGGCGCGAUAUCGUACUUUUUGUAGAACGGUCCAGCGAGUUAUUGUAUAUGGCGAGGUUAAGUUGUAAGUAAGCAACGAAGCCGGAGUGAAAGCGAGUCUGAAGAGGGCGUAAAAGUCAUAUGUAAUAGACCCGAAACCGGGUGACCUAUCCAUGGUCAGGAUGAAGCUAGAGUAAAAUCUAGUGGAGGUCCGAACUCAUAAGCGUUAAAAAGCUUCGGGAUGAACUGUGGAUAGCGGAGAAAUUCCAAUCGAACUCGGAGAUAGCUGGUUCUCCUCGAAAUAGCUUUAGGGCUAGCCUUGAGGUAAAACAUGUGGGGGUAGAGCACUGAAUGAUUUAGGGGCCAAACCAGGUUACCGACAUCUAUCAAACUACGAAUACCAUGUGGAAGUACUCAGGAGUCAGACUGCGGGAGCUAAGUUCCGUGGUCAAAAGGGAAAGAGCCCAGACCGACAAUUAAGGUCCCCAAGAGAUAGUUAAGUGGAAAACGAUGUGAAAAUGCAAAGACAACCAGGAUGUUGGCUUAGAAGCAGCCAUACAUUAAAAGAGUGCGUAACAGCUCACUGGUCGAGUGAAUUUGCGCGGAAAAUUACCGGGGCUAAACUAUCCACCGAAAUUGCGGAUUGUAGUACAUUUAACAAUAUGUAUAGGAAAGAAUAUAUAUUGUUAAGUGUACUGCAGUGGUAGAGGAGCAUUCUGUAGUAGGAAGAAGCUAAAGCGAAAGCAUUGGUGGACGAGACAGAAGAGAGAAUGCUGGAAUAAGUAGCGAGAGCAAGGUGAGAAUCCUUGCCGUCGAAAGUCUAAGGUUUCCUGGGGAAGGUUCGUCCGCCCAGGGUAAGUCGGGACCUAAGGAGAGGCCGAAAGGCGUAUCUGAUGGAUAGCAGGUGGAAAUUCCUGCACUAUAGCCAUACUUAAAAGAUGCAAGGGACGCAGGAGAGGAAGAUAACCGAGAAAGAGGAAAAACUCGGAUCGAAAGAUGGAGUGAAAAUAGAAGUAACGAAGUAUCAAGAAUCACACUGACGAGAAAAGCUUGUAGAGAUUGUAUGGAAAUACCCGUACCGCAAACCGACACAGGUAGAUGAGGAGAGGAUCCUAAGACGAACGGGAGAAGCAUUGUUAAGGAACUCGGCAAAAUGACCCCGUAACUUCGGGAGAAGGGGAGCCUAAGUAAAAUUAGGUCGCAGAGAAAAGGCCCAAGCAACUGUUUAACAAAAACACAGGUUUCUGCUAAAUCGAAAGAUGAAGUAUAGGAGCUGACGCCUGCCCAGUGCUGGAAGGUUAAGGGGAAAUGUUAGGAGCAAUCCGAAGCAUAGAACUGAAGCCCCAGUGAACGGCGGCCGUAACUAUAACGGUCCUAAGGUAGCGAAAUUCCUUGUCAGGUAAGUUCUGACCCGCACGAAAGGCGUAAUGAUUUGGGCACUGUCUCGACAAUGUACCCGGCGAAAUUGUAGUACUAGUGAAGAUGCUAGUUACCUGCGACAAGACAGAAAGACCCCAUGGAGCUUUACUGUAGUUUGAUAUUGGGUUUCGGUAAUUUAUGUACAGGAUAGGUGGGAGACAAAGAAGGAUAGGCGUCAGCUUAUCUGGAGUCAACGUUGGGAUACCACUCUUAAGUUAUUGAAAUUCUAACUUGUGAUCAUAAACUGGUCAGAGGACAAUGUCAGACGGGCAGUUUGACUGGGGCGGUCGCCUCCAAAAGAGUA
This 2276-nucleotide ribosomal RNA is filed under the name human metagenome. RNAcentral's name for it is "bacterial LSU rRNA". It matches the Rfam family "Bacterial large subunit ribosomal RNA", at positions 14 to 2299 of the family's 2925-position model. The record is from RNAcentral.